RNAcentral lists this ribosomal RNA (492 nucleotides) under uncultured bacterium. Its description in RNAcentral is "partial 16S ribosomal RNA". It matches the Rfam family "Bacterial small subunit ribosomal RNA", at positions 29 to 507 of the family's 1533-position model. The record is from RNAcentral.
AGUGAACGCUGGCGGUAGGCCUAACACAUGCAAGUCGAACGGCAGCACAGUAAGAGCUUGCUCUUACGGGUGGCGAGUGGCGGACGGGUGAGGAAUACAUCGGAAUCUACUUUUUCGUGGGGGAUAACGUAGGGAAACUUACGCUAAUACCGCAUACGACCUACGGGUGAAAGCAGGGGAUCUUCGGACCUUGCGCGAUUGAAUGAGCCGAUGUCGGAUUAGCUAGUUGGCGGGGUAAAGGCCCACCAAGGCGACGAUCCGUAGCUGGUCUGAGAGGAUGAUCAGCCACACUGGAACUGAGACACGGUCCAGACUCCUACGGGAUGCAGCAGUGGGGAAUAUUGGACAAUGGGCGCAAGCCUGAUCCAGCCAUACCGCGUGGGUGAAGAAGGCCUUCGGGUUGUAAAGCCCUUUUGUUGGGAAAGAAAAGCAGCAGGUUAAUACCCCGCUGUUCUGACGGUACCCAAAGAAUAAGCACCGGCUAACUUCGUG